AGAGUGAACGCUGGCGGUAGGCCUAACACAUGCAAGUCGAACGGCAGCACAGUAGGAGCUUGCUCUUACGGGUGGCGAGUGGCGGACGGGUGAGGAAUACAUCGGAAUCUACCUUUUGGUGGGGGAUAACGUAGGGAAACUUACGCUAAUACCGCAUACGCCCUUCGGGGGGAAAGCCGGGGACCAGCAAUGGCCUGGCGCUGAUAGAUGAGCCGAUGUCGGAUUAGCUAGUUGGUGAGGUAAUGGCUCACCAAGGCGACGAUCCGUAGCUGGUCUGAGAGGAUGAUCAGCCCACACUGGAACUG
This 305-nucleotide ribosomal RNA is filed under the name uncultured soil bacterium. RNAcentral describes it as "bacterial SSU rRNA". It matches the Rfam family "Bacterial small subunit ribosomal RNA", at positions 26 to 321 of the family's 1533-position model. The record is from RNAcentral.